UACUGAAAUACUAUGAAUUUCGAUCCCCCCAUUUCAAACUUCCGGUCCAAAAAAAACGGUUCCGUUCCUGUUUUGGGACCAUAUCGGCUCCGGUCCGGGUCCCUGCUUUGCCCUAAACAUUAUGUCCAAACCUAAGCACCCCGCAUCUCAAGAAUUUAUGGGUGAGGAGUGCCACGAGAUUCAGCUGAUCCGAAAAAUUCUGGAUAUUUUUAUAAAAUGUCGAAUCACCAUCACUCUUCACUUCUUAGCAUGGAAAACCAGCAUGGAAAUGCUGCAACAGUAAGGCAAAAAAUUACAAAACUCAUAUUAUUUAACAAUUCUUAAAAUUUAAAUAAAAAAGUGUAAGUUUAGAAGCUUUUUGUUAAACUGUAUAUUUUUUACUAUAUAAAUAAAGUAUUUUAUACCUA
Long non-coding RNA from Dendroctonus ponderosae (mountain pine beetle), 407 nucleotides. RefSeq lists it as uncharacterized. Lineage: Eukaryota; Metazoa; Arthropoda; Insecta; Coleoptera; Curculionidae. The record is from RefSeq and is a predicted model, not a curated record. The transcript has 2 exons.